This 507-nucleotide ribosomal RNA is filed under the name uncultured Glomeraceae. Its description in RNAcentral is "SSU rRNA". It matches the Rfam family "Eukaryotic small subunit ribosomal RNA", at positions 569 to 1082 of the family's 1831-position model. Lineage: Eukaryota; Fungi; Glomeromycota; Glomeromycetes; Glomerales; Glomeraceae. The record is from RNAcentral.
GGCAGCCGCGGUAAUUCCAGCUCCAAUAGCGUGUAUUAAAGUUGUUGCAGUUAAAAAGCUCGUAGUUGAAUUUCGGGAUCAAGGAAUCGGUCAUGCCUCGGUAUGUACUGGUUUUAUUGGUUCUCACCUUCUAAAGAACCAUAAUGUCAUUCAUUUGAUGUUAUGGGGAAUUAGGACUGUUACCUUGAAAAAUUAGAGUGUUUAAAGCAGGCUUACGCUUGAAUACAUUAGCACGGAAUAAUGAAAUAGGACAUCAGAUUCUAUUUUGUUGGUUUCUAGGAUCGAUGUAAUGAUUAAUAGGGAUAGUUGGGGGCAUUAGUAUUCAAUUGUCAGAGGUGAAAUUCUUGGAUUUAUUGAAGACUAACUACUGCGAAAGCAUUUGCCAAGGAUGUUUUCAUUAAUCAAGAACGAAAGUUAGGGGAUCGAAGACGAUCAGAUACCGUCGUAGUCUUAACCAUAAACUAUGCCGACUAGGGAUCGGAUGAUGUUAAAUUUUUAAUGUACUCA